GUGAGGAAUAUUGGUCAAUGGACGGAAGUCUGAACCAGCCAUGCCGCGUGCAGGAAUAAGGUCCUAUGGAUUGUAAACUGCUUUUAUUCGGGAAUAAACCUCUUUACGUGUAGGGAGCUGAAGGUACCGAAGGAAUAAGCACCGGCUAACUCCGUGCCAGCAGCCGCGGUAAUACGGAGGGUGCAAGCGUUAUCCGGAAUCAUUGGGUUUAAAGGGUCCGCAGGCGGGCUAUCAAGUCAGAGGUGAAAUCCCACAGCUUAACUGUGGAACUGCCUUUGAAACUGAUGGUCUUGAAUUAAGUGGGCGUUGGCGGAAUAUGACAUGUAGCGGUGAAAUGCAUAGAUAUGUCAUGGAACACCGAAAGCGAAGGCAGCUAACGAUACUUAUAUUGACGCUCAUGGACGAAAGCGUGGGUAGCGAACAGGAUUAGAAACCCCAGUAGUCC
RNAcentral lists this ribosomal RNA (445 nucleotides) under uncultured bacterium. RNAcentral's name for it is "partial 16S ribosomal RNA". It matches the Rfam family "Bacterial small subunit ribosomal RNA", at positions 354 to 796 of the family's 1533-position model. The record is from RNAcentral.